GGGUGCUUUGGUCUUUCUUGGGGCUGCUGAAGUAUCUGCUAGCCCCUCCCUAGCGCUGCCCGUUUCGCCGAUGCUGUGAGGCUUACCCGCCUUUGCAAUAGGCCUACGUAAUGCAACGAGAUAUGAUGCCUCAGUUAGGGUUAGCCUCUUUGCAGACCACACAUUGUGGCUUUUGAACAUCGGAUGGCCCUAUCCAAGAAAAUCCCAACUUUAUAUAUACCUAGUCAUAUUUUCUGCGCUUUCUGCUGGGUUCAGACAUUUUCUAUCGGCAAAGUUGCUGUCACUGCUAGCUAAAGAUGUUUCGUGUCAAGUAUACUUCACAUGCUGUCCGGACUGAGAGAGUGAUUAAAUGACAUUAAAAUAUGUAUAUUCCAUAUAUCUACCAAAUUAUAAUUUUCCAGAAAGCAUAUUAUUUUAUUUUUCUUUAAAUAAUAAAAAAAAAAAAAAUUUGCCGCCUCCCCUGAAACUCUUUGGCGCGCCUCCCCUAAAACUCUUUGGCGCCCCCCAGGGGAGGCGCGGCCCACUCUUUGAAAACCCCUGUUAUGGCCUAUACUGCAGCCACCAGGGGGCAAUCGAGAUAUUUUGGCUUCACUUUUCAGAGCUGUUAUUUUGUCCAUUACUUUAAUCUAUGCAAGCACCACAGGCUUGGGUAAUAGUGGUCUUUAAAGUGAGGGGAUCUAAUUCAUGCCUGCAGAUGUACAUAAGGAAUUUUAUUUGAUGUUAUAUAGCUAUGUAUAUAAAUAUUCACAAUAAAUGACAAACUAUUUUAUUACCAAGGACUUUAUUGAACUACUUUCAUGGCAUUCAGAUCCAACUGGAUAGAGGUACAAAAUGAGUGACAGUUGAAGAUUAGAGGGGACGUGUGCCGGCACAGGAUAGUGAUUGGACAACUGGAUGUUGCAUUAUAUGGUAAACAUGACAGCGCCACGUAGCGAAUGGAAUAAACAUGGACCGGAACAAGAUAUUUUCCUGCUGUAGUGAAUAUUGUAGGAUUACGGCUCAGAACAAGAUGGACUAGAAUCAGAGUGCCAUCAUAUAGGCUACGGCCUGAGUAUGCUGAGGAAUCUAUCCCUGCAGGAUGCAGAAAAGGUCUUCAUCUCUGGACCAGUUUAUCAUCGGAGUGAAGCUGAGGAGUUUGAUAGGGGGAUAUCUAAACAAUUGCGCACUGAAGGGAGACCAUUCAACUAGAUGAAGUUGUAUGGAGGUCUAGAUGGAGGUCUAGAUGGAGUGAUAUGGAGGGGAGGGAGUGAUAUGGAGGGGUGAUUGUCAUUGUUUGACAAUUAUUCAAAAUAAACAAUGUAUAUCUUGAAUCUGCCCUGAGAGUCAACCUUGUGUAUCGCCUCUCUAACAUUACACAUUUGUGGUUGAGAUUGAGUGACUGCAAAAGCCAUAGCAAAUAGAAUACAAUAGAACUUCACUUUUCCAGAACUUUGUGGUGUCAGACACAUCCAAAAUGUAGCAUGAACACAGGCAUGUACAGUAUUUACAGGAAUAUGAAAGAUGAUCUGAUCCACUGAUGUGAUCAAUGUUUUGAGUCAUGCCCAAUACAAAACAUCAUCUAGCAUGCCCAUCCACACCAAAGGAAGCAUCCUCAUGCAGCCCAUCAACCAUAGAGGUUCACCACCAGCAGCAGAGAAGGAAGCGUUGGAUCCUCCGCAGCACCACCAUCCCACAUUACUCAAAGAAAAUGUUU
Long non-coding RNA from Hypomesus transpacificus, 1693 nucleotides. RefSeq lists it as uncharacterized. NCBI's taxonomy places the organism in Eukaryota, Metazoa, Chordata, Actinopteri, Osmeriformes, Osmeridae. The transcript is spliced from 4 exons. The record is from RefSeq and is a predicted model, not a curated record.